CCUACGGGUGGCAGCAGUGAGGAAUAUUGGUCAAUGGACGCAAGUCUGAACCAGCCAAGUCGCGUGAAGGAUGACUGUCCUAUGGGUUGUAAACUUCUUUUAUAUGGGAAUAAAAUGUUCCACGUGUGGGAUUUUGUAUGUACCAUAUGAAUAAGGAUCGGCUAACUACGUGCCAGCAGCCGCGGUAAUACGGAGGAUCCGAGCGUUAUCCGGAUUUAUUGGGUUUAAAGGGAGCGUAGGUGGAUUGUUAAGUGAGUUGUGAAAGUUUGCGGCUCAACCGUAGAAUUGCAGUUGAAACUGGCAGUCUUGAGUGCAGUAGAGGUGUGCGGAAUUCGUGGUGUAGCGGUGAAAUGCUUAGAUAUCACGAAGAACUCCGAGUGCGAAGGCAGUUCACUGGACUGCAACUGACACUGAGGCUCGAAAGUGUGGGUAUCAAACAGGAUUAGAUACCCUUGUAGUC
This 460-nucleotide ribosomal RNA is filed under the name uncultured bacterium. Its description in RNAcentral is "partial 16S ribosomal RNA". It matches the Rfam family "Bacterial small subunit ribosomal RNA", at positions 338 to 795 of the family's 1533-position model. The record is from RNAcentral.